UACGGAGGGUGCAAGCGUUGUCCGGAUUUAUUGGGUUUAAAGGGUGCGUAGGCGGCCCGUUAAGUCUGGGGUGAAAGCCCGCUGCUCAACAGCGGAACUGCCCUGGAUACUGGAGAGCUUGAGUACAGACGAGGUUGGCGGAAUGGACUGAGUAGCGGUGAAAUGCAUAGAUACAGUCCAGAACCCCGAUUGCGAAGGCAGCUGACUAGGCUGUUACUGACGCUGAGGCACGAAAGCGUGGGGAGCGAACAGG
This 253-nucleotide ribosomal RNA is filed under the name uncultured bacterium. RNAcentral describes it as "partial 16S ribosomal RNA". It matches the Rfam family "Bacterial small subunit ribosomal RNA", at positions 524 to 776 of the family's 1533-position model. The record is from RNAcentral.